Molecule: ribosomal RNA, 460 nt
Filed under: uncultured bacterium
Lineage: Bacteria
Description: partial 16S ribosomal RNA
Rfam family: Bacterial small subunit ribosomal RNA
Source: RNAcentral
CCUACGGGGUGCUGCAGUGAGGAAUAUUGGUCAAUGGACGAGAGUCUGAACCAGCCAAGUCGCGUGAAGGAUGACUGCCCUAUGGGUUGUAAACUUCUUUUAUAUGGGAAUAAAAUGUUCCACGUGUGGGUUUUUGUAUGUACCAUAUGAAUAAGGAUCGGCUAACUCCGUGCCAGCAGCCGCGGUAAUACGGAGGAUCCGAGCGUUAUCCGGAUUUAUUGGGUUUAAAGGGAGCGUAGGUGGAUUGUUAAGUCAGUUGUGAAAGUUUGCGGCUCAACCGUAAAAUUGCAGUUGAAACUGGCAGUCUUGAGUACAGUAGAGGUGGGCGGAAUGCGUGGUGUAGCGGUGAAAUGCUUAGAUAUCGCGAAGAACUCCGAUUGCGAAGGCAGCUCACUGGACUGCAACUGACACUGAGGCUCGAAAGUGUGGGUAUCAAACAGGAUUAGAUACCCGAGUAGUC